Molecule: ribosomal RNA, 253 nt
Filed under: uncultured bacterium
Lineage: Bacteria
Description: partial 16S ribosomal RNA
Rfam family: Bacterial small subunit ribosomal RNA
Source: RNAcentral
UACGGAGGGUGCGAGCGUUGUCCGGAAUCACUGGGCGUAAAGGGCGCGUAGGCGGCGCGAGGAGUCGGGGGUGAAAGUCCGGGGCUCAACUCCGGAUCUGCGGUGGGUACGGGCAGACUAGAGUGAUGUAGGGGAGACUGGAAUUCCUGGUGUAGCGGUGAAAUGCGCAGAUAUCAGGAGGAACACCGAUGGCGAAGGCAGGUCUCUGGGCAUUAACUGACGCUGAGGAGCGAAAGCAUGGGGAGCGAACAGG